This 230-nucleotide ribosomal RNA is filed under the name uncultured bacterium. RNAcentral's name for it is "partial 16S ribosomal RNA". It matches the Rfam family "Bacterial small subunit ribosomal RNA", at positions 562 to 791 of the family's 1533-position model. The record is from RNAcentral.
AAAGCGCGCGUAGGUGGUUUGUUAAGUUGGAUGUGAAAUCCCCGGGCUCAACCUGGGAACUGCAUUCAAAACUGACUGACUAGAGUAAGGUAGAGGGUGGUGGAAUUUCCUGUGUAGCGGUGAAAUGCGUAGAUAUAGGAAGGAACACCAGUGGCGAAGGCGACCACCUGGACUAAUACUGACACUGAGGUGCGAAAGCGUGGGGAGCAAACAGGAUUAGAUACCCGAGU